RNA transcript from Triticum aestivum (bread wheat), 1521 nucleotides. RefSeq lists it as uncharacterized. The transcript is spliced from 3 exons. The record is from RefSeq and is a predicted model, not a curated record. NCBI's taxonomy places the organism in Eukaryota, Viridiplantae, Streptophyta, Magnoliopsida, Poales, Poaceae.
UUAGCUAUUGUGCAUAAGCGUGAUCUAAUAAUCAGAAAUGUUUUAAUGUAAUCCAUUGCUCAUGCAAUUCUAUAGUCUGUGGAAACUGCUCUUUUACACUGGUACAAUUGCAGUCUUAAGUUGGAACUUAUUUGUAGUUUAUUCAAUGACUACAUAAUAUCUCUAUAUAAUGCCAUACCAAUAAGGCAUAUUUGAUUAGUCUUGCUUGGUCUGAACAUUCUUAAAUGUAAUUCAGGAUGCUCUAGCUAAUCUUUUUUCUCAUUUCUGACAAGAUGCAUUGUUGUUUAUCUGAAUAACAGUUUCGUGGCAUGAAAAAUAACAUAUAUAUAACAAUGCAUUCCAUGGGGCUGCAGUACUGGAAAAUUUCCUGAUCGUUGAGGCAAUCAACAUGCAUUUGCAUAGCUUCUGUAACUCAAAUGAAUGCUAUGUAAAUAAUAUUUUUUUCGUCUAACUAUUAUCAAAAUGCAUGCAAGUUUAGCUCUGACAGAAUCAAGUCAAUCAACUAUGGGACAGGUACAGUAUGCAGUUGGGUUCUAGUGUUUAGCUACAGUGCAGGUACAUCUUCCUUGCUUAGUCUAAUUGUGAUUGUCAAAUGUUCCUUGAUUGCUAGAUUUUUGUGAAAUCUUCUUGUGCAUAUGUGAAGGGAAGCAAGCUUGGAUUCACUGGAUGAUGUAUACACACCAAGUGCACCUCGCUUUCAUAAUAGCAAGCAACCUCAUAUUGAGAUUCUUCUAAUUACGGUACUCCUAAUAAUUGAAUAUGUGGGGAGAGUCAGUGUUCCAUGAAACCAGAUUGCUUUCCUUGCUACAGAGUAUGAGCCACCUAGUUUGCUGGCUUGGUGGCGAGGGCGUCAACAUGGCGACGGCGGCAGCCCGCGCUCGCAUCCGUUGGUCAGCAGAGGAGAGCAGCAGGCGGCCACGGCGCCCCGCGCUCACUUCCAUGGGCCAGCAGAGGUGAAGCCGACGGUGGCGCCGGAGACUCUCGCUCCGUCGCUCGCAUCCAUGGGGCAGCGUAGGAGAGGCAAGUGGCGACGGCGGUCUGUGCUCGCGUCAUUGGGGCAGUAGAGGAGCGGAUGGCGGCGAUUGAGUCCCGUGUUUGCGUCUGUGGGGUAGCAGAAGAGGAGCGGACAAGGGACAACGGCAGCGUCGAUCCGCGCUCACGCCCAUAGGCAGCAGACAACAGAGGAGGAGCGGCGGGCGGUGGCGGCGAUCUGCGCACGCGUCUGUGGGGUAGCAGAGAGACGACGUGUUGUGAGGCAGAGAGAAAAUUACGGGACAGAAACCCCCCUAUCCACGUUAAUUGAGGGCGAACCAGUGUGCCGGGCAGUCUGCUUGGCAGAACAUUUAAUCUGGGAUGUUCAUGUGCGUGGCAGACCCUUGAUGUGAUAUGGACUGUUAGAUGCUAUUUAGUUGGAUUGAUCUAACGCCUCUGAUAAUCCUGUGUACACUUUGUGGUGUGUCUCUAAGGGAAUUCAUGUUUGCUCUUUUAAUAGUAGUAUAGAUAUAGAUAAUCCUGUGUACA